Molecule: long non-coding RNA, 2159 nt
Organism: Homo sapiens (human)
Lineage: Eukaryota; Metazoa; Chordata; Mammalia; Primates; Hominidae
Gene: VPS33B-DT
Product: VPS33B divergent transcript
Source: Ensembl
UCCCAGCGCUUCGCGUACCAGGAAGGGGACGGCGUCCUGAAAGGGACAUUUGAAAAACGGAGGCAACGCGUCUAUUAAUUAGGUGGCGGCGCCUGGGGUCGCAGCACUCCAGAGGCUGAGAGUCUCGCCCUUUUGCCUAGUGGAGGAGCUCGGCUCACUGCAAGCUCCGCGCCACAACCCCCCUGCCGCCCCAGGUUCAAGAGAUUCUCCUGCCUCAGUCUCCCGAGUAGACUGGGAUUACAGAAUGCUGGGGUGGAAGAGUUCCCAGUUUUAAAGGAGAAGUACAAGAAGACCUGUAAUUGUUAGCAAGAUAUACAGAACACAGUGCACACAGCAGCGCACUUCUCAAGUCAGGUCCUCCAAGAUGCUCGGCAUGGGCUGAGGCGCCUCCUCCUCCUCCUUACUGCCCAGUUCAUCGCCUGUGAGGGGUGGCCAGAGGGGUCCUCGGACAACUCAACAAGGGAGAUGGUCAGAACGAUCAAGCGACCUCUCCAAGGCGGGGACUGAAGCGUCAGGUCUCACCUGCUCCAACAUCUCCUGCAUCCUCUGCCACACGCGGCAUGCUCUCCAUGGAGAUACUCAGCGUACUCGUCUCUCCAUUUGUAGAUACUGCAGCCACUCCAUCACCUGCGAGAAUUGACACAGAAGUUAGGAAGGGCUGUCACUGGUCCUCACAUACUCCUGGCCACCUGGGGUCAUCUUCCUUCCACGUCCCUCCCUCUGCAAAGCCUCACGUGCCCCAGGUAUGCUUCCAGCUGUGCCCGCUCCUCCAUGGCCUGCUGUAACUGCUGGUUAGCAUCCAGGGCUUUGCAGCAUCUAGACAACUGGAUGGUGAAACAGGAGACAUUUCUAUCUGGGGAGCCCGGACUGUUCCACACAGCGCCUUUAAAAGGGCUAGGGCUAGGCUCAAUGUACAACUCAGUCAAUAAGGUCUCUGUCAAGUUGCUUUGCUUUAGAUACAAAAAAUUGAAUAAUUUUAAAGAGAUCUCAGGCUGGGCAUGGUGGCUCAUGCCUGUAAUCCCAAAAUUUUGGGAGGCUGAGGCGGGUGGAUUCCUUGAGCUCAGGAGUUCCAGACCAGCCUGGGCAACAUGGCGAAGCCCCGUCUCUACAAAUACAAAAAUUAGCCAGGUGCAGUGGCACGCACCUGUAGUCCCAGCUACUUGAGAGCCUGAGGCAGGAGAAUAGCUUGAGCCUGGGAGGUGGAGGUUGCAGUGAGCUGAGAUAGCACCACCGCACUCCAGCCUGGGUCACAGAGCGAGACCUCACCUCAAAAAAAGAAAAAAAAAAGAUCACAACUCUAUUACCAGGAAAUAGUGAAAGUGUUGGCUUGAACCUCAGAAGGAAAUAAACAGACUCAUGAGCUAGCCAUAUAAAUGUAAUCUAUAAAAUAAUGGUUUUCAUCCAUGAUGCUUUAUGAAAAAAAAUUUUAAGCCCUAACCUUCAGAUUCUGAUUCCCCAGGUCCAUGGCAGGGCCUCAAUUUGUAGAUUUUUAGCAGUCUCUAGAGGAUUCUAUGGCAGGAGAAGAACAAGGACUCAAAUUUUUCGGCUCUUGGCUGGAGCCUCCCCAUACCCGGCAUGAUCCCUAGGCCAUGGCCCCAGCUGGAUGGGGCUCUCACCACCCCAGGGCUGCAGUAAUCCCUCCAGGUGUUCAAGAACCUCUGGCAUACGCCAGGUAGAAAAAUGUGUUUCCUUCUGUAGGUCCAAAGCCAGGGAUACCAUAUGUUCUGUAUUGAUAUGAAACAAUGACUUGCAAUUAAAACAUAUAAAUAUCCUUCCUACUCCUACCCUCCAUCCAAUGUGUUUUAUUUUUAUGAGUUAAAUAAGAAAACGAGUGGCAAUCGGAGAUUUUGUCUAAAAAGUAUAUCUACAGGUAUCAGUUCUCAUCCAGCCUGAUCUCAUCCAAUAUCAUAUAUAUUCUCUUACAUGUAAAGUUUCAGAAAAGUAUCUUCACAAUGUAAGACUCAGGCACACUAGGAGUUCUAUAAUAAAACACCAAGUAGAUCAGAAUGUCCAACCUUACUAGAGAAGAAAAGUGGAAUCAUUGGCUAUAUUUUCAAAUUGCAUUCAACAGGAAAUUUAAGUUUUGAGUUUUUUCCACCUUGAACCUGGGAAGCGGAGGUUGUGGUGAGCUGAGAUGGCGCCAUUGCACUCCAGCCUGG